This is a long non-coding RNA of Cephus cinctus (wheat stem sawfly), 2534 nucleotides long. RefSeq lists it as uncharacterized. Lineage: Eukaryota; Metazoa; Arthropoda; Insecta; Hymenoptera; Cephidae. The record is from RefSeq and is a predicted model, not a curated record. The transcript has 3 exons.
UGCGUGUACCCAGUAUUUCAGUGUUUAAUGAGUAUACUCGUAAAGAUAGGCAGACUGUGAUAAGUUAUCAAUAUUGAUAUACCGCUGUUGAAAACACGACUUAAAAUGUCAUUUCCCUAGGACUAAUGGACGUCAACAUGGCUAACGAGUCUUCGCGUGUCGUUCCUAGGAGGCAGCUUUUUCCGAUCCUAACCUCCACAGGCGUUGCUUAUACACGACGCUAGCUUCAAUUUUCUCAACGUGCAUUCCGCAUAUUCCAUCAGAGUCAAGCGAGGCAGCCAAACCUCAACCGUUAAAUUCCCAGCUGACUUCACUUCGUCCGACGUGGUAGCAGCCGUCUUUAAGCUGGAUCAGCAGAGACCGAAGUAAUGACCUCAUAAGAAUGGGAAGCACAGGGGGAUCGGGAAGAUCUAAGUGCGUGGAAGAUUAUAAAGGACCAAAGGGAGUACGAGAAGACAUGAGAGCCAAGAAGAAAAAAGGAUAACGAAAAUCGCCAAAGCAGCAAAGGUGGCUUAAGCAAAGAAAAAGAAAAAAAAAGUCGUCUGGUUGAAAAAAAAAAAAAUUCGAAAUUUAUUACGUCAACUCCCAAUAAGAACGAAUAUCAUUAUCGCUGAAGAAUUUUAAUGAAAAUUUAUUACCUAACAAGACUUUUCAUCGAAACGUCACCCAAGCCAUUUAACACCGUCACAUUACCCGGACUCGCUCGCGGCCUUAUGAAUUAUCUGAAAAAUUAUGAAAAUUAGGUAAUACACAACUGGCGUCGUGUCUGGUUUGCUACGUGAUCAUCCAAACACGAUAAUGUCUGGAGUUAAAUGAGGCAGCUAAUUUAUUUAUGAAAAUUGAACAGUGUAACUGAUAUAUCUAUAUAUAUUUGGCCCGAUCAAGCAAUCCGUGAAAUGGCCAAAAGCUGUUACUCUCAGGGAUCGAUAAUUAUCAUGCCAUCCGCUUGUACCUUGUCCUAUCUGCAUAUACACCUAAAAUGUAAUAGACCAACCAAGUGGGUUACUACAUAUAGCGGUACACACGAGUAAUCCUACUGUGACAUAGUUUAACCUAAAAUUCCACGUACAUUAAUUAUCGUGGUUAGGAUGCCAGAUAGAGGCGUAAUUUAAUUGAAAAUUGUAAAUAAUUCCUUACGCGAGGUUUCUCAUAUUUUUUUAAAGCUUCAUUAAAUUUACUCCCCGGCAGACGUUUCCUUUGACAAUUUAUUUACCUCCGUCUAAGUAAUGCAUUAUGUGCAUGGUAACAUUAUUUUACGAAAAUUUAAUGCUACACGUUCUACCAGGGGCGUACGUAACCUCUAGGAAAUUGUGCAUAUAGGGAACUAUCGAGACGAGGGAACGACGUCUUUUUUUUGGAUCUUAUAGAAAUUUUUUUUUAUUUUGAGAUAUCAAUGCCAAUCCAUUGUCUCAGAAUCAAAUUUCAAAGAUAUAAAUUCAGAAUAAUCUCAUUCGGAUUGUUUAACGAGAAUCCUGCGAGGAAUCCUGGUGCCAUUGAUAUUCGAUAAACACGGGCUGACCAACGUUCCAAUUACCUGCUGACAUAACCUCAAAGCUCGUGUAGCGCCACAGAUGCGUAAACGCUCUGAAAUUGGAUUCGCCACGUCACGCAGACUCUAUUCCCUUGGGAAUAGUCAACAGAUACUCCUGGCUUAUUGGUCGCAGCCAGUGGACACUGCGAGGACUGUGGUACAAUAACAGUGUUAUUGGCCACCUAUGACGGCACUUAGUAGCUUUAACAGGAAUAUUAAUUGGACUAAUUGUAAGGAUACGUCAGUCUGGACCAAUCGGAAGAAGCUGCAAGAAAAAAUUAGGACAGCCCAUUAGCAUGUUGGCUUUGAAACGUCAAGUCGAUGACGAGGGCUGAUAGACGCAUGAUGGAUAGGUCAGUGAAUUUUUUACGUCAUCCGAGUGAAGAUUGGAUUUCAAGUUGAGAGGGGUUCGCUUUGUAUCCCUGUACCAAAACACCCAGUAAUAAUUACGUAACGACUAGGUCACAAUUUUGUACUUCGAUAUAUGCCGAUCGCGCGAUACUCGGCUGUUUUUUCGGCGAAUAUCAAAUAUCGAACGUCCAACUGUUGCUUUGCUUGGAUAUGGGCGAGUAUUAGAUUAAAUACAUAGCAAGUUAAUUAUAGUUGACCCGAGUAUGGUCUGAGUCAACUUGUAAGCAUAUAUGACUUUCUCACUUGAAGAUGGUUUACUUUGUGCAUUCAUGAAAAGCUACCACUAGGGUUUACCAAUGAUAAUGAAGGAAGUGAUUAGCCUGUUUAUUCUGUUUUCACGCUUUUUACAGAAAUAACAAUCAGGGUUGCCAUGGUUACGUAACUAAGGUAGAAGUUGUAUCUUGGUAAUAUUGGAAUUUUGAAUUUAUCAAUUUCACGAUUUUACCUCUUUAUAGAGAAAUUUCGACAUUUUUCGUAGCCUAGCUUCACGUACUAUCGAACUGAUCAUUUUUAUACAUUGAAACUAAUUAAGAAUUACAAUUAUUGUUGGAAGUAAUAUCAGACACUUGUAAAUGCCCAAGGCGUGAUUCAA